AGCACCUCUCCCUUCACUCUCUUUCUCCUGUUUGGCCGUGUACCAAGUUCCUGCCUGUCUUCUGUCUUCACCCGUGACUUGCCUCAAGUAGUUGGCUCCUUUCCCACCGGCUACUUUGUAACUGCGAAUAUGACAACAUGACGGUGAUUCACAGAUGCCAAAAUAUGACGAGCAGAGCAAAUCUGUGUUCCAGAUAUGAUAAGGUUGAAUUUGGUGAGAGGCCCAAGAGCCCAUGCUGAGUCUCGUCCUUCUAAAGCCCUUCACUAAGCAUUGUGUUGUUCAGUGAAUGUUCCUCCUCUGGAUUCACAUUACUACUCACUAGCACCUCAUUUGACGGUGGAUGUAGACUCAUUUGCAUGCUUAUUUCCUGUUUUAUGUUUAUGCCGACCUUCUUAAAUAAAAUAAAUCCUUUAUGAGUUCUACCUCAUUUUAUUCCCCUUUUUCACCACUUUGACCAUACUGAUUCCCCCAAAACCUGUUCUAGAAAAUGUAUUUAAUAAUGUUGAUGAUGACAAUGAUGUCUAAUGUCAAUAAUGACAUGGUAAAAAAUUUCUGUUUCAGGAAUUUUUUUUUACAUUCAAUAAAGAUACAAUACAUAGAUGAAGUAUAAUUUUAAAACAUGGUCACUUUCGGAAUUCUGACAAUCUUUGAAAAACCAAAAGAGGCAAAAUGGA
Molecule: long non-coding RNA, 674 nt
Filed under: Homo sapiens (human)
Lineage: Eukaryota; Metazoa; Chordata; Mammalia; Primates; Hominidae
Description: HSALNT0081504
Source: RNAcentral